Molecule: ribosomal RNA, 416 nt
Filed under: uncultured bacterium
Lineage: Bacteria
Description: bacterial SSU rRNA
Rfam family: Bacterial small subunit ribosomal RNA
Source: RNAcentral
AUUGAACGCUGGCGGCAUGCCUUACACAUGCAAGUCGAACGGCAGCACGGGAGCAAUCCUGGUGGCGAGUGGCGAACGGGUGAGUAAUGUAUCGGAACGUACCUUUCAGUGGGGGAUAACGUAGCGAAAGUUACGCUAAUACCGCAUAUUCUGUGAGCAGGAAAGCAGGGGAUCGCAAGACCUUGCGCUGAUUGAGCGGCCGAUAUCAGAUUAGCUAGUUGGUGAGGUAAAGGCUCACCAAGGCGACGAUCUGUAGCGGGUCUGAGAGGAUGAUCCGCCACACUGGAACUGAGACACGGUCCAGACUCCUACGGGAGGCAGCAGUGGGGAAUUUUGGACAAUGGGCGCAAGCCUGAUCCAGCCAUGCCGCGUGAGUGAAGAAGGCCUGGUUCGUAAGACGUCUUUCUAGCCGGGAA